GUGCUGGCUUUGGCAACACACUAGUAAAAUUGGGCCAAUACAGAGAAGAUCAGCAUAGCCCCUGUGCAAGGCAUCUAAUCUGUAAGUGUUCCACAAAGAUAUU
Small nuclear RNA from Sorex araneus (European shrew), 103 nucleotides. Lineage: Eukaryota; Metazoa; Chordata; Mammalia; Eulipotyphla; Soricidae. The record is from Ensembl.